GCUCUGUUCGUCUAGCGGAUAGGACACCAGGCUUUCAUCCUGGCAACACGGGUUCGAGUCCCGUACAGAGCACCA
Molecule: transfer RNA, 75 nt
Filed under: Pseudomonas sp. FeN3W
Lineage: Bacteria; Pseudomonadati; Pseudomonadota; Gammaproteobacteria; Pseudomonadales; Pseudomonadaceae
Description: tRNA-Glu
Rfam family: tRNA
About the family: Transfer RNA (tRNA) molecules are approximately 80 nucleotides in length. Their secondary structure includes four short double-helical elements and three loops (D, anti-codon, and T loops).
Source: RNAcentral